Long non-coding RNA from Capsicum annuum, 4475 nucleotides. RefSeq lists it as uncharacterized. The transcript is spliced from 3 exons. The record is from RefSeq and is a predicted model, not a curated record. Lineage: Eukaryota; Viridiplantae; Streptophyta; Magnoliopsida; Solanales; Solanaceae.
ACCAUUAACUAUUAGCUCUCUUGUAAACCUGUAUCUUCAGAAUAACAAAUUCUUUUGUUCAUCUUUGUUUCUAUUUCGUGAGCUUAAAACUCUUACUCACUGCUAAAUGUCUCUUCCUUCGUCUUUUGUUAAAACAUCCUCAGAACAAAAUGCUCCCAUUGUUUAACAUUUUCCAGAAAUCCCUCAUUGGCUUUUGAAAACCCUUUCUUAGAAGAAAAUCCUUCACCACCCUUGGUUACUGAAGGACUCUUUGGGUUACCUAUUGGUGAAGAACAACUAGUGACAAACACUUAAAUCCCUUCCCUGAGUGUGGACCCAGAAACCUCUGAAAAGAUCUCCUCAUGUACCAAAUCUACAUCUCAAUGACUCUCUAUUCUUGUUCAUGAGAGCACCUCAACUAGUUCAAUUCCUAAGUCAAGUGCGAUACCUGAAUUGUCCAAGGGACUAGUUCCCCUAGCAGUUGUUGAACCUCCUGAGGUAGAACAAAGUCUAUUUUAAGGUGAUUUACUUGAGGGGCGUGGAAACCCUCCAAGGAGUUUUGAGGUGGGUAGUCGAUAGUCUGACAAAACUAACAUCAGGUUCUCCAUUGUUCUUUGAUGCUCCUCCAAAAUCUCCUGGUCCCAAAUAUGAUGUUGCCCAUCUUUCUAGAAGGGUAUCUAAGGAAGUUGUUCAUUCUUCAGUUAAGGAUGAUGAUGAUGAGGAUGUUUUUGUAAAUCUCUCCUGGAAUAGAAUGAGAAAAAGAGGAUAUUCAAGAAAGAUCAAGUCUUUGAGAAUCCUAUUCAACGAUCGUAUAGUACUCGAAGGACAGAGAAAAAUUAAUGAGUGAUGCAUUAAAGACAAGUAAGAGAGUCACUACCAGAAAGUGAAAUGCUAAGAAAAAAGAUUGCAAGUGAGAAACCUACGUCGCCUCCUGAGAAGGUAGCGGGUGUGGAGGGUGAUGAUAGAAAUGAGGAAACGAAGAAUCAUGAUGACGUUGUUGUUGCUUCUAGGAGAAAAAAUAAUAGAAUGGGGGCUUCGAAGCCUACAACACCCAAUCCAAAGGGUGCUAGUAAGAAAAUAAUCACCAUUCAAAAAAAUAAAGAGUAGAAGUCUUCAGCGGACCUGGUACUAAUGGUAACACACAAGAAUGUAAGGGAACUAGUAAAAUAGAUGAGGGACUUGGUUCCUCCUUAAAAAGAAUACAGAUUCAAGUGGUGGUUCCUGGUCUCAUAAGAGAGGAGAGGAACAAGAUCCUCAAUCCCAAAAGGUAUUAACUGGGAGGGUUUUUGACACAAGAAUCUGAGAUGAACCUGGAAUAACUGAGCUUGUUUAAUACGUUGAACACCAAGAUUGUCUGCAACUUUUUGAGCCUCGUGCACCAAUGUUCUAUUAAGAUGAAGUCAAGGACUUCUUCUUUACAUUAGAAUAUGUUGAUAAUGCAUCCAGUCUCACUGUAAUGGUGUAUGGAGUCAAAAACAUUUCUUGAUAUAAAGUUACCUGGGCCGAUCCUUGGUGUACCUGUUGAUGGGAUUAAGUCAGUCCAAAUAAAAUAACCUUUUCUUGCCUUCGUGCAGUCUGCUUCUAAGGUUGGUGGAGAUUCUAGAGCUGGAUUCAGAAGAAGUUUCUAAAAGGCUAAAAAAUUAUGCACACAGACAUUACCUUAUCCCUAUACUUCUAAAGAAGUUUUCGAGCAGAGCAUGUGGAUGCUCAUUGGACCUGAAUCCAACCCUACUACAGCAGUUCCUGCUCUUAUUCGCCCAGAGGUGGUAAAGACGAGCAGUGUUAUCAUAAAGCCUAUUCAAUUCAGGAGGUAAAUCCCCAUAGAAGAGCGCAGGACCACAAAUGUGGUAGUGCGCAAAACAAGAAGGGUAGUAAAAAUAAGGGUAAAGCCACAAAGAAGUGUUAAAUUUUGAGAAAUUGCUGAUGAGAUAGAUAUAGUUGGAGACUGCACUUACUAACUAACUUCUUUCUCAUUAAUUUAACUAAUCAAGUAAUCCUAACUACUGACCGUACAUUCUUGAGCUGAUUAGUGGAAAACUGUACUCUUAACUAACUGCUUAAUAUCCUCCCUCAAGCUAGGUUUAUGAAAAACAUUUUUCAUUCCUAGCUUGGCAAGCAAGUGGGCAUGUUAGAUAUAAGUGAGACCUUUAGUAAGCAAGUCUGCAGGUUACUCUGUUGUAUUUAAGUAUUAUGGAUGAACCAUUAUUUGCUGAACCUUUUCCCGAAUAAAGUGACAAUUGAUGUCUAUGUGUUUGGUGUGUUCAUGAAAAACUGAAUAUGCAGCUAUUUGAAUGGGUUGAUUUGUUGUCACUAUAUAUGGGAACUGAUAGAUUUAUAUCCACUCCUAGCUUCUUAAAGCGACCAACUAGCCACACAAUUUCAUCAACACUGCAGGAUAGGCUCCUGUACUCAGCCUCUGCUGAGCUUCUUGAAAUGGUGCGUUGCUUAUUAGAUUCCCAUGAUAUCAAAGAAUUUCUAUGAGUGAUCAAGUAUCCAGUGAUAGACUUUCUGCCAUUUGGAUAGGAAGCCCAGUCAGCAUCACAGUAUGCAGUAAACUGAUUUGAAGCAGUAGAUGUCAUGAACAAACCUAGUCCUGGUGAAUGCUUAACAUACUUAACCACUCUCAUUGCGAUGUGUGAUGUCUUGGUAUUAUGCAUGAAUUGAAUUAAAAGCUAAACCAUAAAGGAAAUGAGUGACCUAGUUACAGUCAGAUAAAGCAAUCUUCCCACAAGUUUUUUAUACACACCAGGAGCAUCUAGUAGUUUUUCAUUGCUGUCAGUAGGAGGGAAAUGUAAAUCAAAUUCUAUUGUCGUGAGUUUUUGAUUCAACUAAAUAGGAUCUCCAACAGGCUUUAAACCAUACAACCCUAUUUCUAAAAUUAAUUCAAGACAAUACUUUCUCUGAUACAUGAUUAUUCCUAAUUCAUUUUUUGGCAAAUUCCAAACCUAAGAAUUACCUCAAUUUACCUAAGUCCUUGAUCUUGAAAUUCUCUUUAAGAAUUUUCUUAGUGUCCAGGAUCAACUUAGGAUCAUUUCCUUUUAUUAUAAAAUCAACAUAAAUUCAUAUCACCACUAAGUUGUCACCUUGUGGUUUGUGAAUAGGGAAUAGUAAAAAUGAUUCUGUUGAAACCUUGAAUCGAUCAAAGCUGUAAUUAAUUUUAUGUUCCAUUGCCUGUUGGCCUGCUUGAGUCCAUAAAGUGAUUUUGUGAGCUUGCAUACUCUCCCCUUCCCACUUUGAUGGAAAAAAUGUAGAUGCAUUUCCAUAUAAACAUCCUUAUUUAAAUUAGCUUGAAGAAAUGCAUUAAAAACAUCCAUCUAGUGAAUCUCCCAGUGAUGUGCAAUAACUAAAGAGAUGACUACCCUGGCCAUAACUAUUUUCACAAUAGUGGAAUAAGUUUCUUGAUAGUCUAAGCCUUCCUUUUGGUUAUACUCUUUGGUUAACAACCUAGGUUUGAACCUAUCAAUCUAUUGAUCAGCUUUGUAAUUUAUUUUAUACACCCAUUUGCACCUUAUUGGCCUCUUACCCUUAUAUAACUAAGUGAUUUCCCAGGCGUGGUUGUCUUCUAGUGCCUUUAUCUCACUCUUAAUAGCAUCAAUCCACCCGCAGUCCUUUAUUGCUUCCUGAUAAGAUGUAGGUUCCCUCUUUUGAGAAAAUUUAGUUACAAAAAUUCUGUAGGUUGGUGAUAUUUUGUGAUAAUCUAACACAUCUGUCAUAGAAUGCAAGCAGUUUCCAGCAGUCUUUUUCUUGGAAGUAAUGUAAUCUGCAUGCCAUAUUGGAGGCUUUACAGAGCUAUUUUACUUUCUUGCAAUAAUAUGUGAUCUUAUUGUGUUAUGUUGGGGAGGAAUAUUAUCUGUAACUGGUGAUAAAUUAUUAGUGACACCAGGAUCAUGAUGUUCUUGAGUAUUAGUUACAUCUGUAGUUACAUCUGCGGUAACACCAAGAUCAUGAGGAGCUUGCUGAGCAUGUGUAUGUGUACUGUCUGAGUAAGAUGAGGAUCCAUCAACCGUAUGAUACACAACAGGAUGCACAAGCUCUACAGUCUCAGGCAUACUAUCAACUGAAGGUUCAGAUAUGAAGCAUGAGGUAGAUUCAUAGUUAUCAAUGUGUGAGUGUGAAAUAAAGAAGUGAUGAUCAUUUUAAUCUCCAAGGCUUUUACACUAAAAGCGAAAUACAUUUUCAUGUUAAACAACAUCUUUACUAACAAACAUAGUUUUUGAUUCAAUAUCCAACAAUUUAUACCCCUUUUGAUUAACUGCAUAUCCAAGCAACACAACUUGUCUUGCCUUUGGUGCAAACUUAUCCCCUUCCAACAAGCUAGUAGCAAAUGCAAGACAACAUCACCUUAAUAUGUAACAAAAAAGGUUGUUUGUUACAAAUUACCUCAUAUGAUAACUUAUUUCCCAAAACAGAUGGAAGGAAUUUUGUUUAUUAUGCAUAUUGUAGCUUUUAUACACUCUCCCCAAUACUUUCUUGGCAAACAUCAUUGAAAUUUGAUA